UACAGAGGUGGCAAGCGUUGUUCGGAAUUACUGGGCGUAAAGGGCGCGUAGGCGGUUCGUUAAGUCAGAUGUGAAAGCCCCGGGCUCAACCUGGGAACUGCAUUUGAAACUGGCGGGCUUGAGUGUGGCAGAGGGGGGUGGAAUUCCGCGUGUAGCAGUGAAAUGCGUAGAGAUGCGGAGGAACACCGAUGGCGAAGGCAGCCCCCUGGGCCAACACUGACGCUCAGGCGCGAAAGCGUGGGGAGCAAACAGG
Molecule: ribosomal RNA, 253 nt
Filed under: uncultured bacterium
Lineage: Bacteria
Description: partial 16S ribosomal RNA
Rfam family: Bacterial small subunit ribosomal RNA
Source: RNAcentral